This 413-nucleotide ribosomal RNA is filed under the name uncultured prokaryote. RNAcentral's name for it is "partial 16S ribosomal RNA". The record is from RNAcentral.
CCCUACGGGGUGCCUGGGAGAAGUGGUGGCCGGAGCCAGGGCCUUCGUCGACAGCAAGGUGCAUGGAGCGGCUCCCGCCCCCUACCGGGCUCUGGAUCUCAUCGAGGGGGCCUGCAGCUGGGAUGUGGAGCGGGGCUUCGAAGAGGAAAACAAAGCUGCUGCGGACCUCAUCCUUUCGAAGCAGUGCAAGGCGUCCCUGUAUUCCUUCGAUCUGGUGAACCGUUAUGCAAAGCGGCCGAGAGGCUUGCCCGAAGCCCCGUCCCGCCCCAUCCGAAAAGUGGGCAUCAUCGGAGCCGGACUCAUGGCUUCACAGCUGGCUCAUCUGUUCAUCCAUCGCCUGGGCGUUCCCGUGGUGAUGAAAGACGUGAAGCAGGAGCUCCUGGAUAAAGGCUGUGCUUAUGUGGCGGGGGAGC